GGAUGUAUUCAGUCCAGUGAUUGGUCCGCUGUCUCAUGUUUAAAAUGACCCCGCGGCCCACCGAGCAUUACAACAAGAUUUUCUUAAUGUAUUGUUUUGAAGGAUCUCAACGAGAUUAAGUCAAAGUUACUGCCAUUAAAAUGUUGGAGAGCUGCUUGGCUGGGAAGCCCGAUAGAGAGGGCCCUCUCCGGGUAGACGAUAUCCGCAAAGAUUUAUUCCAGGACUACUCCUCACCAACCCAGCAUCAAUCAAAUAUUAAGCAGCUGAAGGUGAACGUCCAGAAGGAGAACCUUCAGGUCUAUCUAAGGAUCAGACCAGUCACCUCAAGGGAAAGCAUCCAGGACGUGCCAAAGGACUGUGUGACCCUGGAGGGGGUGGACACGGUGGUGUUGAAGGCUCCUUCGUACUGUCAGUCUAGUUGGCACAGCGACAAGAACCUCCCACAAACCUUACAGAAGUUCAACUUCACCAAGGUGCUGGGUCCACACAGCAGCCAGCGACAGGUGUUCGAGGGGACGGUGAGCCCGCUGGUCCGAGGGGUUCUGGAGGGACGAGACGCUGUCGUCUUCACCUACGGCGUCACCAACGCCGGAAAGACCUUCACCUUCCUGGGUCCGGAGCAUGAUGCGGGCAUCCUUCCCAGGUCUCUGUCGGUCAUCUUCAGGUCCCUAGAGGGCCGUCUCUCUGCUGACUGCAGCCUGAAACCUCAACGCUGUAAAGACGUCACCAAGCUAACCCGCCUGCAGCAAACCAACGAAGCCACACUUAAGAACCAGCUGCUGAAGCUGCUCAAACAGAGCGACAGUCAGAAGCCCAACUUGUCUCACAGUUCAACCUGUUCUUCAGAAGGGGACUCCAUGGUAAGCAGUGCUAGCACUAGUUCUGAUACUAUUGCUAACAGCAGUGCUAACAUCAGUGCUAACAGCAGUGCCGCAGAGUCUGAUAGUUUCCAGCUCACCGCCGACUCUACAACAGAGUUCUCAGUCUGGGUUUCAUUCUGUGAGAUCUACCGGGAAAAUAUCCAUGACUUACUGGAAACACAGGAGCCUCGAACCCAGAAGAGAAAUCUUCUACGUCUGGCUCAGGAUGUCAAGGGAAACUCCUUCAUCAAAGACCUACGCUGGGUUCAGGUCCAAAGUGCAGAAGAGGCUUACAGAAUCAUGAAGAUCGGCAAGAAGAACCAAAGCCUGUUCGCUACGAAACUGAACCAGCUGUCGAGCCGCAGCCACAGUAUGUUCUCCAUCAGGAUCUUGCGUUUGGAGAAGACAGGACUCAUGAGAGUGAAGUCUGUGAGCGAGCUGUGUCUCUGUGACCUGGCCGGAUCCGAGCGUUGCACUCGCACCCAGAGCCAGGGUGAGCGUCUCAAAGAGGCGGGAAACAUCAACACCUCCCUGCUCACACUGGGCAAGUGUCUGAACGCCAUGAGGCUGAACCAGCACCACAGGGUUCCUCAGCACGUUCCCUUCAGGGAGUCCAAGCUCACCCACUUCCUGCAGGGCUUCCUGUGCGGCCGUGGGGCCGUGUGCAUGAUCGUCAACAUCAGCCAGUGUCCGUCCGCCUACGACGAGACGCUCAACGUCCUCAAGUUCUCCGCCCUGGCCCAGAAGGUGGUGGUGCUGACCUCGCGUCCCGUCCUGCCCCCUGUGGCCCCCAAGAGGACAGCCAGGGAGCUGUCCAUGAUCAUCAACCAGGCUGUUUGUCCCAGCAAACGGGGACGGCAGAGCUCCAUGGUUGCCUGGGAGACGACCCUAGAGGAUGUGGUGGAGGAAGAUGAUGAUGAGGAUGACGAUACUGAAGAGGACGAGGACGAGGACGAGGAGUGUAUGGAUGAGGAGACUGUGCUCGAAGCAGGCCCCGAGGAGGGCGGCUGGCGGGCGGCGCUCGAGCUGCAGAUCAGAGAGGAGGUCAGCGCUGAGUUCAUGGAGCUCUUUGAACGCAUGGAGAAGGACUACAGUGAACGCUUGGUGAGAGAGAGGGAGAUUCUGGAGGAGAGAGCAGAGAACAGAAUGGAAAUCAUGAAGACCCUCGUCAGCAAGACUUCCUGUUUGUCUGCCACUAACGAGGAGGAGGGUAGAGAGGAGCUGGAGCAGGUGGUCACCAUGAUAACAGCGGACCUCCUGAAGAUCAAGAGAGAUGCAGAGGAGGCACACACCUGUCUCACUGACGACACAGAGCGGGAGACGCUGCGAUUGGACCAGCAGAGAUCACAUGAUGAGCUGGAGACGCUGCGAUUGGAGCAGCAGAGAUCACAUGAUGAGCUGGAGACGCUGCGAUUGGAGCAGCAGAGUUCACACGAUCAGCUGAAGGCGACUCAGGAGAGGCUGUCAGAUCUGAUGGAGGCAUGUCAACAGAAAGAUGACAUCAUCGGCAAGCUGCAGGUCUCCAUGGAGACGGCCGACACACAGCUCACCAGGUUACAGCUCCUGAUCAGGGAGAAGACUGACGCUGAAGCUAGCCUAUCGACGCUAUUCGAAGACGCAAAGAGCCGCCUCCAAAUCCUGGAUCUCCAAUUGGAGGAGAAGAGCCAGAGAGUCGACCUUCUCACCCAGGAAGCGGAUGUCUUGCGACAGGAAACGGCUCGGAGGCGUGAAGAGAAAGAGGAGGGUGCUUCUGUCUUCCACGCGGCUGUGGAGGAGAUGAGGAGGGAGGGCCAGGACGCUGUCGAGAGGUCGGCCCAGAAGAGGCAGCACAUCGCCCAGCUACAGGAGGAGAUGGACCAGCUCAGAGACUCGCUGACCAGCAGUCAGAAGGAGUGUGUCCAGCUCAGGGACGACCUAGCCAAUCAGAGAGAGGAGUCCCUCGAUCUGCGUCAAACCUGGCAGACGGACAAAAGGCUCCUGCAGCAGCAAGCAGAGGGCCUCGCGGUGCAGCUGAAGGCCUCUGAGGAGAGCUGCGCGAAGGGGACCAUCGCGGAAGAGCGACUCGCUGAAAGUGAGAGCCAGUGCGCAGCUCUGCAACAGAGACUAAGGGAGAAGGACCUCGCAGAUGAGGAGAGGAAAGCGCAAGAUGAGGGAGAGAAAGAAGAGUUGCGGCUGGCUCUCUCGCCUCUUCAGGAAAGGCUAACGAAAAGCCCGACGGAAACAAGCAGUUCAGAGACAAACACUCACACGAGCGAGGAGGAGGAGGAGGAGAGAGGAGUGGAGGAGGUGAGAGGGGGAGUGGAGGAGGUGGUGAGCAGAGAGGAGGAGGAGGAGGUGGUGAGGAGAGAGGAAGAGGAGGAGGUGGGGGAGGGGAGGGGAGGAGAGGAGAGGAAGGCCACUGUGGUUGAGGAGUUGAAGGAAGAACUGCAGCGUUUCCACCAGAGGAAGGAGGACGACAGGAGGAGGGCCGAGUUUGAGGCGGUGAAGAGGGAGAUGGAGAGGCUGCAGAGGAGCGAGAAGGAGCAGAAGCAUCCCAACACCAGAACCUGUCGCAAGAGGAAGAGUGAGGCUCACCCCAGCACCAGGAACCUACGCAGGAGGAGAGUCCAGGAGCCGCAGGAAAAUGACACGAAGAGAAAAGGAGUGAAGGCGUCAGAUGGAACGCUCCAGAGGAUCCUGAACUCCCCCUCCAUCCUGAGCUCCACAGGUAGUGUGUGUGUGUGUGUGUGUGUGUGUGUGUGUGUGUGUGUGUGUGUGUGUGUGUGUGUGUGUGAGAGAUUGAUCUUUGACCUCUGCCCUGAGCAGCGAAGAGCAUCCUGAACCUGGUGGUCAAUCGCUCGGGAGAGAAAGAGGCGGUUGCCGUGGAAACAAGGCAAAAACGAGGACGGAAAAGACUGUUCAAGAAAGACAUCUCCUCUCCCUUGCUCACCCUCACGCCACAAACGACUAUGGAAGGAUCGGCAUAAAAAGAACGCAGCGACACGAAGAGACUGCUGUGACACUACAGGCGGGCCGUCACUGAUUCUUUCAUAUCAUUAUUGUUAUAUAAAUUGUUUAGACAAAAACAUAUUUUUUCUUUUGUAUUGUUUUACCUUGUUUACUAAAAUAAAACGUUGAAUGCCUAA
This is an RNA transcript of Gadus macrocephalus (Pacific cod), 3985 nucleotides long. It is a transcript of the gene named kinesin-like protein KIF20A, with no coding region annotated. The record is from RefSeq and is a predicted model, not a curated record. NCBI's taxonomy places the organism in Eukaryota, Metazoa, Chordata, Actinopteri, Gadiformes, Gadidae. The transcript is spliced from 30 exons.